RNAcentral lists this ribosomal RNA (508 nucleotides) under uncultured bacterium. RNAcentral's name for it is "partial 16S ribosomal RNA". It matches the Rfam family "Bacterial small subunit ribosomal RNA", at positions 28 to 523 of the family's 1533-position model. The record is from RNAcentral.
GACGAACGCUGGCGGCGCGCUUAACACAUGCAAGUCGAGCGAGAACCAGGGCUUCGGCCCUGGGGACAGCGGCGAACGGGUGAGUAACACGUGGAUAACCUGCCCUCGGCACCGGGAUAGCCCGGGGAAACUCGGAUUAAUACCGGAUGGCCCUUCCGGCCCUCGAGCCGGUCGGAAAAGGUAGCUUCGGCCUCCGGCCGAGGAUGGGUCCGCGGCGGAUUAGCUUGUUGGGGGGGUAACGGCCUACCAAGGCUCCGAUCCGUAGCUGGUCUGAGAGGACGAUCAGCCACACUGGGACUGAGACACGGCCCAGACUCCUACGGGAGGCAGCAGUGGGGAAUCUUGCGCAAUGGGCGAAAGCCUGACGCAGCGACGCCGCGUGAGGGAGGAAGGCCUUCGGGUUGUAAACCUCUUUCAGGAGGGACGAAGCUACUCGGGUGAAUAGCCCAGAGGGUGACGGUACCUCCAGAAGAAGCCCCGGCUAACUACGUGCCAGCCGCCGCAGUAA